This 254-nucleotide ribosomal RNA is filed under the name uncultured bacterium. Its description in RNAcentral is "partial 16S ribosomal RNA". It matches the Rfam family "Bacterial small subunit ribosomal RNA", at positions 524 to 776 of the family's 1533-position model. The record is from RNAcentral.
CACGUAGGGGGCAAGCGUUGUCCGGAUUUAUUGGGCGUAAAGAGCUCGUAGGCGGUUCGAUAAGUCGGGUGUGAAACCUCCAGGCUCAACCUGGAGACGCCACCCGAUACUGUCGUGACUAGAGUCCAGUAGGGGAGCGUGGAAUUCCUGGUGUAGCGGUGAAAUGCGCAGAUAUCAGGAAGAACACCCGUGGCGAAGGCGGCUCUCUGGGACGGUACUGACGCUGAGACGCGAAAGCGUGGGGAGCGAACAGG